RNAcentral lists this ribosomal RNA (555 nucleotides) under Salmonella enterica subsp. enterica serovar Infantis. RNAcentral's name for it is "partial 23S ribosomal RNA". It matches the Rfam family "Bacterial large subunit ribosomal RNA", at positions 161 to 652 of the family's 2925-position model. The record is from RNAcentral. RNAcentral also lists the same sequence under 1 other name. Lineage: Bacteria; Pseudomonadati; Pseudomonadota; Gammaproteobacteria; Enterobacterales; Enterobacteriaceae.
AAUCCAUAGGUUAAUGAGGCGAACCGGGGGAACUGAAACAUCUAAGUACCCCGAGGAAAAGAAAUCAACCGAGAUUCCCCCAGUAGCGGCGAGCGAACGGGGAGGAGCCCAGAGCCUGAAUCAGCAUGUGUGUUAGUGGAAGCGUCUGGAAAGGCGCGCGAUACAGGGUGACAGCCCCGUACACAAAAGCGCAUGUGCUGUGAGCUCGAUGAGUAGGGCGGGACACGUGGUAUCCUGUCUGAAUAUGGGGGGACCAUCCUCCAAGGCUAAAUACUCCUGACUGACCGAUAGUGAACCAGUACCGUGAGGGAAAGGCGAAAAGAACCCCGGCGAGGGGAGUGAAAAAGAACCUGAAACCGUGUACGUACAAGCAGUGGGAGCCCCACCACCAAAGCAUUCUCUGGUGUUGAAGGCCCUGCAAAGCAGCAUCGCGGUGGCGGAGCGUCGUUUGCGACGCCCAACACACAAAACAAGCGGUGAGUGCUUUGGGGUGGGGUGACUGCGUACCUUUUGUAUAAUGGGUCAGCGACUUAUAUUCUGUAGCAAGGUUAACCG